AGAGUUUGAUCAUGGCUCAGGAUGAACGCUGGCGGCGUGCUUAACACAUGCAAGUCGAACGGUGAACGAGGGAGCUUGCUCCCUCCGGAUCAGUGGCGAACGGGUGAGUAACACGUGAGUAACCUGCCCUUGACUCUGGGAUAAGCGUUGGAAACGACGUCUAAUACCGGAUACGACCCUCGGAGGCAUCUCCAGGGGGUGGAAAGAACUUCGGUCAAGGAUGGACUCGCGGCCUAUCAGCUUGUUGGUGAGGUAACGGCUCACCAAGGCGACGACGGGUAGCCGGCCUGAGAGGGUGACCGGCCACACUGGGACUGAGACACGGCCCAGACUCCUACGGGAGGCAGCAGUGGGGAAUAUUGCACAAUGGGCGAAAGCCUGAUGCAGCAACGCCGCGUGAGGGACGACGGCCUUCGGGUUGUAAACCUCUUUUAGUAGGGAAGAAGCGAAAGUGACGGUACCUGCAGAAAAAGCACCGGCUAACUACGUGCCAGCCGCCGCGGUAAUAC
Molecule: ribosomal RNA, 509 nt
Filed under: uncultured bacterium
Lineage: Bacteria
Description: bacterial SSU rRNA
Rfam family: Bacterial small subunit ribosomal RNA
Source: RNAcentral